This is a long non-coding RNA of Zophobas morio, 1575 nucleotides long. RefSeq lists it as uncharacterized. The record is from RefSeq and is a predicted model, not a curated record. The transcript is spliced from 3 exons. NCBI's taxonomy places the organism in Eukaryota, Metazoa, Arthropoda, Insecta, Coleoptera, Tenebrionidae.
AAAUUUUAAGUUCUUUCAAGAAUUAUCAUCAUAAAAAAUGCUACCACUGUGAACAGGUUCUUUGAAAAAACGCAUAACUUUAAAACACUUGAACGACGAAGAAAUAAAAAUAUUAAAUGGUUUGAGUGUGGACAAUGUCUUUACAAAACUAAACAACAUUUUGAUUUAAAAUCCCACAUAAGUAUGCGCCAUUCAGACAAAAAGGAUCUCAAGUGGUACGAAUGUGAAGACUUUUCGUACAAAACGGAAUACCACUCCAACUUGACGAGCCACAUAAAAUCGCGCCACUUACAUGCAGACUCCGUUAAAUGGUUCAAAUGUGACAACUGUCCUUAUCAAAGUAAAUUUUCUUCAAACUUAAAAAACCACGUAAACACCCACCACUUGAACGAAGCAUCAAGGGGUACGAAUGCAAGCGGUGUCCAUACAGAGCUAAAGAGAAUUCUUGCUUGAAAACACACGUAAAUGCGCGCCAUGUGGAUCAGCGGGAUAUCAAAUGUUGAAGCGUCACGUGAGAAUUCUUUAGUGAAGUUUUUGAUAACCAACUCUUUUUCAUCACUGAAUUACGAAACAAAAGUAAUUUUAAAAAAUAAUGGAAAACCGACACCUUCUUUGCCAGAUUUGACCGUUAAGGAUGGAUCCAAGUGUCGUUCGUUUACUAAAGAUUGGUAAAAAAUGUGAAUGGUUAACUGGUAGUAUUUAUAAUAAUAAGCUGUUUUGUUGGUUUUUUAUUCUUUUUAGUAAAUUUAACGCCGAAAAUCAAAACUGGGUAAAAAAUGGAUUUUCUGACUUAAAAAAUUUGUCAAGAGCUAUUGGUCGCCACUCUUGCUCAGCAGAACACAUUUCCGCGCAUGUAAAAUAUCAGAUGUUAGGCAAAUCAAACAAUAUUGCUAAUAUGCUCGAUAAUGCCAGGAAAAUUGAAAUAGAAAAUUAUAAUCAAAAAGUUACCGAAAAUCGAAUUGCCUUUCAGAGGACAUGAUGAAAGAAUAGAAUCAAAUAACAGGGGGAAUUUUCGGGAAUUAGUGUCAUUAAUGUCUAAUUACAAUGAAAAAUAUGAAUUGAGGGGUCAGAUUUUUCAGGUACCUCAAAAACCAUUCAAAAUGACAUUAUUGAAUCCACUGCGUUCGUAUUUCAAUCUGAGAUCCAUAAGGAAAUUUUUGAUAACCCAUUCUUUUCGUGGCAAGUUGAUGAGACAACAGAUAUAGCCUGUAAAUCCCAGUUGUAUGUAAUAUUUCGUUAUGUCGUUGGAGGGAAUCCCGUAGAGCGCUUUCUGUUUUUUUUUUCGAUGUUAGUGCAGGUCGUUCAGCAAACGAUUUGUACAAUUUAUUAAUUAAUGAAGUCUCAAAAUUUAAUUUAAAUACGAAGCUCAUAUCUUAGACAUAUGAUGGGGCAGCGGUAAUGGCUGGAGAACUUAAUGGGCUUCAAGCCAAAAUAAAGACAAUUGCCCCUCAAGCACGUUUUUUUCAUUGUUAUGCCCAUAAUUUAAAUUUAGUUUUAAGCGAUGCAACCAAAAGCUGCCGGGAUGUCCGUAUAUUUUUUCAAAAUUUGACGGGUUUUUCAUCUUUUUUUUCAAAA